GACGGAGCAAGACCGCGUGGGGGAGGAAAGCCUUUGGGUUGUAAACCCCUUUUCUCAGGGAAGAAGAAAGUGACGGUACCUGAGGAAUCAGCCUCGGCUAACUCCGUGCCAGCAGCCGCGGUAAUACGGAGGAGGCAAGCGUUAUCCGGAAUGAUUGGGCGUAAAGCGUUCGUAGGUGGCAAUUCAAGUCUGCUGUCAAAGACAGUAGCUCAACUACUGCAAGGCAGUGGAAACUGAAUAGCUAGAGUGCGGUAGGGGCAGAGGGAAUUCCCGGUGUAGCGGUGAAAUGCGUAGAGAUCGGGAAGAACACCGGUGGCGAAAGCGCUCUGCUGGGCCGCAACUGACACUGAGGGACGAAAGCUAGGGGAGCGAAUGGGAUUAGAUACCCCAGUAGUC
Molecule: ribosomal RNA, 396 nt
Filed under: uncultured cyanobacterium
Lineage: Bacteria; Bacillati; Cyanobacteriota
Description: bacterial SSU rRNA
Rfam family: Bacterial small subunit ribosomal RNA
Source: RNAcentral